GUGAAGUGACAUUGCUUCAGACCUGUUGUGAGCAGUUCUGUGCCAUUGGUUCAUCUGAUAUAGUUUGAACUGUAUUUUAGCCAAAGGUUGGAAAAAACAAUGAAGACAUUGCAGAUACUGACGGCACCUGGGUCAGUCACAGCUUACUCCAGGGCCCGGACAGGACAGACACUGGAUGUGGUAAAUACCAAAUAACAGCCUUGACAAUAGCACAGGCUGAAAAUUAUGUCCUUUACUGACUACUUUGAAGAUGCUAUGAAUUGUUUCAUGUGUCUUGGUUUCAAGGACCUGGGAAGAAGGCCAAUGACAGUUUAGACAUGAUGUUUGACACUACAGCUUACGAGGAGUACAAGUCUUACAACAACUCACAUUCUGGCCAGAGCUUGGCCUGUGAUGCUGAUAAAAGUGGUGAUGAGGAGAAUGAAGAGGAUGUACAGAACAGUGGAGGGGGUCCUACCGAAGACACCCCAGGUCAAAGUAAAGCAAGGCUCCCAACAUUUGCACAUGUGGCUGUUGUUCGCAAGAAAGAUGAGAGGAGAAAACUGAAGGGCACUACCUGCAAGGAAUGUGAAGUUGUAAGUAUUUUGAGGAUGAAGCUACAUAAAACUGAAAUUUUAGCCGUUACCUUUUUUUAA
This 635-nucleotide long non-coding RNA is filed under the name Echeneis naucrates (live sharksucker). RNAcentral describes it as "lncRNA (ENSENLG00000021175.1)". Lineage: Eukaryota; Metazoa; Chordata; Actinopteri; Carangiformes; Echeneidae. The record is from RNAcentral.